Molecule: RNA transcript, 988 nt
Organism: Stomoxys calcitrans (stable fly)
Lineage: Eukaryota; Metazoa; Arthropoda; Insecta; Diptera; Muscidae
Exons: 3
Source: RefSeq, a predicted model, not a curated record
ACCAAAAUCCUCGGCUUCGUUCUCUGUCCCUAUCUCCUACACCGAAUCUGGGCAACACGAUUUUUUGUGAUUAAUUUUACGAUUUUACACGGUAAAUUUGGGGGAAAAAAAUAAUUAAAUUAGAACAAACCCAAUAUCUUUAUCGCAAAAGUGUGUAUAUUCAUAGUCGCCCCUUAAAAGUGCAAAGAAACUUUGCUAACUUCUUGCCCUGGUCAAAGAAGAGAGCAAUGGAAACAAGAGUGAAAGAGAGGGAGAGAGAGCCUGUGGCCCCUAUAUAAAAGGAAAAUACACCCCACCCCACUUGGAGAUGUUGGAGUGUGGUGGACCUAAUUAUAAUUUUUGCAGUGACAUUAAAUAAUGUUCCAGUGAAUAUGAAAAAGUCAAAACAAAGCACAUUUCGACAAAGGGCGGCGAUAUGUUAGUGCCACAAAGAACAAUAACACCUGCAGACGACGACAAAACGAGGAAAAAGGAAGCUCAGUUCUAACAAAGAGCAGGGGCAAUGGUCUAGAAAGCAUUUAAAAGAUAAAAAAAGGAUUACAACGACAAAUGAUCAAUCAUCAUCACUGCAGCGAAAACUGUGUUAUAAAGCCAAACAGAAUCCCUCAGAAAAAAGGAGGAGGGUGGGUGUAAAGUAUCAUAAAUUUUUGUUUGAAUGAAUCAUCAAGGGACAUUGUGGCGUUAACGGAAAAUAAACUCAGUUCUUCUCUGUUUUUUCGUCACUGGAGGGAAUCAAAUAACAUAGAGGCAGUGUAUUGAACAUUAAAGCAGUGAUAAAUGUGCAUUAUCCAGAAAAAAUCCAUUACAAGCAAUAAUAUAUCAUAUAAUACAUGUUGGCGCUGGCAGCCAAAUUAUUAACAUCAUAUGGAUAAGACAUCAUUACAGCAUUAGGAUAAUAAUAAAUUCACAUAAACCAGUACAGCAAUAUACUACAAGGAAGUUAGGAGCAGUCUCCAAAAAAUAAGUCUUCAUCUAGUAAAUAAAUCAU